UACAGAGGUCUCAAGCGUUGUUCGGAUUCAUUGGGCGUAAAGGGUGCGUAGGCGGCGCGGUAAGUCGGGUGUGAAAUCUCGGAGCUUAACUCCGAAACUGCAUUCGAUACUGCCGUGCUUGAGGACUGGAGAGGAGACUGGAAUUUACGGUGUAGCGGUGAAAUGCGUAGAUAUCGUAAGGAAGACCAGUGGCGAAGGCGGGUCUCGUGGACAGUUCCUGACGCUGAGGCACGAAGGCCAGGGGAGCAAACGGG
Molecule: ribosomal RNA, 254 nt
Filed under: uncultured bacterium
Lineage: Bacteria
Description: partial 16S ribosomal RNA
Rfam family: Bacterial small subunit ribosomal RNA
Source: RNAcentral